CCUUGCGCCUUGAAAAUAUCGAAUGUCGAUAUAGCUCCGCCACCUAUCGACCUUCUUGCUAAUUAGAGAUUUUAGUUGCCUAGUUCCACCAUAGAUGGCGUAGGCUUGUCGAUUAGCACCCGGUUGUCCCCCGCCCUUCCUUCGUCUAUUUUUAGCACGCCUCGAUACCGCGUUGCCAGCGCUCUCUGAGGCCUUCCCCCCCCCUCCCUCUCCCUCAGGAACCUUACUGGUUGAAACUUGCUUCUCUGUUCGUUCGUGUUCUUGGUUCGAUCAGUGCGUACUGCGUUGUUUCCUAAGCCCUUUUUGGAUUAUUUUUGGUAAAGGUCAGCUCCUCGGUGGAUUCUUGCCAUUCCUAGCCUUGUUGAAUUACAUCGGAAGAUUUGUCUUCUCCUCGCUGGUUGUAUUCAGAAUGGAGCCCUUACCUCCAAUCGAAGCUUGGGAUGCUCCGUCAGCUCAUGAGGAGUCUCGCUCUCCCACGCCACGACCCCCUCCGUCCUGCCCACUCUGUGGCCCUCUUCAUUCCCUUGGGGACUGUCCACAUUUAGCAAGCUCAAUCCUGCGAAUCGCCUCUCAAUUGUUAUCGGCAACGGGCUUUGUAUUAAUUGUUUGGGUCACACCGCGGCAGGUUGGCCUCGAGUUCGGUGCCACCUGAAGGCACAAUGCAGCUGCCAAGCACCACACCAUCCUCUCCUGCACGACAGUCGUAGAGUCGUGGUGCCAACCCCCCAGUUCCAUGGUGUGCGCGCCUCCCUCCGAGGUCGGCGAUCCCUCCCAGCCAUGCCUUACCUGGGUUUUCUGCACCCGCGUGCCCCAGCGCCGAAGCGCUAAGUCUGCGCUCGCCAUUGACCUUUUCUUUGUCGCCCUUGUAGUGUACCCUUUCCCUCCGUGUCUCGCCCUUAUCGUGUCUUAGUUUUUUUUCUUCGCCCUUGUAAAGUUCGCGCCCCACCGCUCGCGCCUCGCCCUCAUGUGCUUAGUUUUUCUUUUAACCUUGUCGCCCUUGUACCUCAGUUUCGUUUUGUAAUCCCUCCGUGAUUCCAAGGGGGGAGUAUGUUGGCGCCCUUGCGCCUUGAAAAUAUCGAAUGUCGAUAUAGCUCCGCCACCUAUCGACCUUCUUGCUAAUUAGAGAUUUUAGUUGCCUAGUUCCACCAUAGAUGGCGUAGGCUUGUCGAUUAGCACCCGGUUGUCCCCCGCCCUUCCUUCGUCUAUUUUUAGCACGCCUCGAUACCGCGUUGCCAGCGCUCUCUGAGGCCUUCCCCCCCCUCCCUCUCCCUCAGGAACCUUACUGGUUGAAACUUGCUUCUCUGUUCGUUCGUGUUCUUGGUUCGAUCAAGUGCGUACUGCGUUGUUUCCUAAGCCCUUUUUGGAUUAUUUUUGGUAAAGGUCAGCUCCUCGGUGGAUUCUUGCCAUUCCUAGCCUUGUUGAAUUACAUCGGAAGAUUUGUCUUCUCCUCGCUGGUUGUAUUCAGGUAGAAUUCAUGAAUUAUACCUCCCUCGAAAUCUAGCACCUAGGUCCCCAACCCCACUUUUAGGCCUUACCUCAUGGUUGCUAUUUUCAACCCCUACGAAUAGAAGUGUAUUUCAUCCCUUUGUUCCCUCUUUGCCCUACAUCCCCUUGAUUAGAGCUCAAAGAGAACGAACCCUACCCUUAGUCCCUUAUCCCUCGCCCUUAAGUCCCAAAUCCCCUGGAAGUUACAAGUUCAAGGUCAUGCUUUGACCCCUCAUGGAAAGCUAAGUUUUCAUCUAUGACUUCAUGAGCAAGUCUGGUCACCCAGGAAUAAUGGUUCGAUGGUCUCUGCACACUAAAACUCAAUGGUAAGCCUUCAUGUUCACUCAGACAUACUUUAUUAACCUCAUGACGAUCAAUGUACUAUGUAUGCCCAUACCCCCGCCCAUUUUCAGAUUCACCUAAGUCCAAAUUCUUAGGCCCCCAAAGAUACAGUCCACUUAAUCC
RNAcentral lists this long non-coding RNA (1950 nucleotides) under Bemisia tabaci. Its description in RNAcentral is "lncRNA ENSSSA3NGG014126". Lineage: Eukaryota; Metazoa; Arthropoda; Insecta; Hemiptera; Aleyrodidae. The record is from RNAcentral.